This 1044-nucleotide long non-coding RNA is filed under the name Canis lupus dingo (dingo). RNAcentral describes it as "lncRNA (ENSCAFG00020002025.1)". The record is from RNAcentral. Lineage: Eukaryota; Metazoa; Chordata; Mammalia; Carnivora; Canidae.
CCCCUUCAGCGGAGCCGUCACUCAACAAGGCCCCGCCCCCCAGGGCCGGCCCGCGCUGGCCGACUGGAAGGUCUCGCGGGAGGGGUCCGGGCGGGCCUACCCGCGCAGGCUGCGACGUCACCUUGCGACGCGGGCAUCCCUGGGCCCCGCCCACCCCAUUUAAACCCCCUGGACUCAACAUGGCGGCGGCGCACCCUCGGACGCCUGACCCCGGCGUCCCCGGGCGCGGGUAAGGGGCAACCCUUUCGUGUCCAGGGCUGCUGUCCUCCAUACGCAGCGAUGCGUGUCCGUCCGCCUGCGCGUCGUAGCGCCACCUGGGGGCUGGCCCCUCCCCGGCGAGGUCGGUGACCCUGAACGACCCUCCUGCGCCGCGCGCGCCCCGGAAGCGCUGGCGUGUCUCCCGGAAGUGGUUUUUCUUCCUCUCCCACCGUCGGGGCGGUGCCGCUGGCGGGGAAGGCGGGGUCCACGUGCCGGCUUGUGGAGAGCGGACUUCCUAGCGCUUUCCGCGUCUGGCGGUGCCUUCCCCGUUCCUGAGUAGCCUUUUUAACGGAAGCGUAAUCGGAGAGGCCGGGCCGCGGCUGUGGGCAGCGGCCACAUCGUCAGGCGCCUCGGGCUGCUGACCCAGCGCGGCUUGCCUUACCUGUCUGAGCUUCUCAGGACAGGCCGAGUCCACGCGGCCAGGAGCGGGGGCGGCGGUGUCCUGCCUUCGGGCCCUGCCGGCGGGUGGAUCCAGCAGAUGGGAACAUUGCCCCCUGCGCAGCGUGCAUGCGCACCAGGACUGCGGGAGCCCCCGCUUGAAGGGAAGACGACGGCACCCACCGUGGGCACAACUGCGGUAACAAAGAAUAUCAGAGUCAGGGGCGCCUGCCUGCACGGCUCAGGGGUUGAGCAUCUGCCUUCGGCUUGGGUCGUGAUCCUGGGAUCCACCUGUGCAUUGGGCUCCCCGCAGGGAGCCUGCUUCUCCUCCUGCUCCGGUCUCUGCCUCUCUCUGUGUGUCUCUUGUGAAUAAAUAAAUAAAAUAUAAACAUAUAUAUAUGAGAUUCA